RNAcentral lists this ribosomal RNA (497 nucleotides) under uncultured bacterium. RNAcentral describes it as "partial 16S ribosomal RNA". It matches the Rfam family "Bacterial small subunit ribosomal RNA", at positions 28 to 507 of the family's 1533-position model. The record is from RNAcentral.
GAUGAACGCUGGCGGCGUGCCUAAUACAUGCAAGUCGAGCGAACAGACGAGGAGCUUGCUCCUCUGACGUUAGCGGCGGACGGGUGAGUAACACGUGGAUACCCUACCUAUAAGACUGGGAUAACUUCGGGAAACCGGCGCUAAUACCGGAUAAUAUCUUGCACCGCAUGGUUCAAUAGUGAAAGACGGUUUUGGUGUCACUUAUAGCUGGAUCCGCGCCGGAUUAGCUAGUUGGUAAGGUAACGGCGUACCAAGGCAACGAGGCGUAGCCGACCUGAGAGGGUGAUCGGCGACACUGGAGCUGAGACACGGUCCAGACUCCUACGGGAGGCAGCAGUAGGGAAUCGGCCGCAAUGGGCGAAAGCCUGACGGAGCAACGCCGCGUGAGUGAUGAAGGUCUUCGGAGCGUAAAACUCUGUUAUUAGGGAAGAACAAAUGUGUAAGGAACUAUGCACGUCGUGACGGUACCUAAUCAGAAAGCCACGGCUAACUACGUG